Molecule: ribosomal RNA, 356 nt
Filed under: uncultured organism
Description: bacterial SSU rRNA
Rfam family: Bacterial small subunit ribosomal RNA
Source: RNAcentral
GGAGGAUCCAAGCGUUAUCCGGAAUCAUUGGGUUUAAAGGGUCCGUAGGCGGUUUAAUAAGUCAGUGGUGAAAGCCCAUCGCUCAACGGUGGAACGGCCAUUGAUACUGUUAGACUUGAAUUAUUAGGAAGUAACUAGAAUAUGUAGUGUAGCGGUGAAAUGCUUAGAGAUUACAUGGAAUACCAAUUGCGAAGGCAGGUUACUACUAAUUGAUUGACGCUGAUGGACGAAAGCGUGGGUAGCGAACAGGAUUAGAUACCCUGGUAGUCCACGCCGUAAACGAUGGAUACUAGCUGUUGGGAGCAAUCUCAGUGGCUAAGCGAAAGUGAUAAGUAUCCCACCUGGGGAGUACGUUC